UCCGUAGGUGAACCUGCGGAAGGAUCAUUAACAAAACAUAAUAACACACUGUGCACAACAAUACUAAGAGUAAGAGCAAGAGGUGAUAUUGUAAUUGAUACAACUUUUAACAAUGGAUCUCUUGGCUCUCGCAACGAUGAAGAACGCAGCGAAAUGCGAUACGUGAUGCGAAUCGCCUAAUUCGUGAGUCAUUCAAUCUUUGAACGCAUAUUGCACUCCUUGGUAUUCCGGGGAGCAUACCUGUCUGAGUAUCAUAUCAUCUAAUCCCUCCAAGGGGAGCUGGAAUUCUGGGCACAGUCUUCCGAAAGAGAUGUACGCCGAGGUGGACUAAUGCCACGCCGAGGCUUUUAAAGCAACGAUCUCAGAUCAGGCAGGAGGACCCGCUGAACUUAAGCAUAUCACUAAGCGGAGGAAAAGAAACUAACAAGGAUUCCCCCAGUAACGGCGAGUGAAGAGGGAACAGCUCAAAUUUGAAAUCUGGGCGCAAGCCCCGAAUUGUAGUCUAUAGAAGCGUUAUCGCCGGAAGGCCUGGCUCAAGUCCCUUGGAAUAGGGUGACAUGGAGGGUGAGAUCCCCGUGGAGCUUGGCUGGAAGGCAUAUGAGGCGUUUUCAAAGAGUCGGGUUGUUUGGGAAUGCAGUCCAAAGUGGGUGGUAAAUUUCAUCUAAAGCUAAAUAACGGCGAGAGACCGAUAGCGAACAAGUACCGUGAGGGAAAGAUGAAAAGAACUUUGAAAAGAGAGUUAAAUAGUACGUGAAAUUGUUAAAAGGGAAACGCUUGAAGU
RNAcentral lists this ribosomal RNA (781 nucleotides) under uncultured fungus. Its description in RNAcentral is "eukaryotic LSU rRNA". The stretch from base 357 to 781 matches the Rfam family "Eukaryotic large subunit ribosomal RNA", at positions 1 to 429 of the family's 3401-position model. The record is from RNAcentral. Lineage: Eukaryota; Fungi.